AUUAGUCCACUUCUUGUGCUGUAUUGGUGGUUUACAGCGAAGAACAAAGAAAAGGAAACAAGCAACAAACUAUUACUAGGACUAACAAAAAUGUGAUGUAACAAUCUUGAAUACUGGAAAACAGGAGAGAAACCCAAAUCAAACAAAGAAAAACUGGUGGAUUUUUCUUGGCUAGCUAGCAGUUGUGAAGUAGGGUUAAGAUUGGUGGCGCAUGACUCAUCGUCAUCAACAUCUAUAAAAGGAGAUAGACACCCUUUGUCCUUAACCAAGCCUUUUUCUUUUUGGGUCUUUCACAGACUUGCCAGAAUGAGCUACAUUUCUGCAACAGUGACAAUGGGGUAUUGGGAAGUGUUGGUCACUGGCUUUAUGGCUUCAUGGGUUUUGAGUGUAGUGGGUGAUACUUUGCCUCCAUGUGACUUCCCAGCAAUUUAUAACUUUGGGGACUCAAAUUCAGACACUGGUGGCAUAUCUGCUGCGUUUGAGCCAAUUCGAGCACCAUAUGGUGAGGCUUUCUUUCACAAAACAGCUGGUAGAGAUUCUGACGGCCGCCUCAUCAUAGACUUCAUAGCUGAGAGGUUGAAAUUGCCAUACUUGAGUGCCUACCUGAACUCCAUUGGGACAAAUUAUAGGCAUGGAGCCAAUUUUGCCACGGGAGGAUCAACCAUUAGGAGGCAGAAUGAGACCAUAUUUGAGUAUGGGAUUAGUCCUUUCUCUCUUGAUAUGCAGAUUGUGCAAUUUAACCAAUUUAAGUCACGGACUGGAGAUCUCUACCAUGAAGUGAAGAAUACCCCUGAGGCAGAAAAACUCCCCAGACCAGAGGAAUUUGCUAAGGCUCUUUACACUUUUGAUAUUGGUCAAAAUGAUCUUUCUGUUGGGUUUAGAAAGAUGAGCUUUGAUCAGCUUAGAGCAGCAUUGCCAGACAUCGUUAACCAAUUGGCCUCAGCAGUCCAAGUACUAAGUAGCCCUAUGCUAAUAAUGAUUGCUUGAGUAGUUGCUUAACAUGUUUUUAGUUUUUACACAUAUAAAGCAACUUUGAUAAAUAGCAUAUGUGGAUAUAUGCAUGUUUGUAUUUGUUUCAGAAUAUAUAUCAACAAGGAGGGAGGGCAUUUUGGAUACAUAACACAGGCCCUAUUGGUUGCUUGCCAGUGAAUCUUUUCUAUGUCUCCAAUCCGCCUUCUGGUUAUCUUGAUGAGCAUGGCUGCGUCAAGGCACAAAAUGAGAUGGCCGUAGAGUUUAACAGCAAGCUUCAGGAUAGAAUUGUUAAACUAAGGGCAGAGCUUCCAGAAGCUGCAAUUGCAUAUGUGGAUGUAUAUUCUGCUAAGUAUGGACUUAUAAGCAAUGCAAAGAAUCUAGGAUUAGCUGAUCCACUGAAGGUUUGCUGUGGUUAUCAUGUGAAUUUUGACCACAUAUGGUGUGGGAAUAAGGGAACUGUUAACAAUACUGAAGUCUAUGGUGCCUCUUGCAAAGACCCUUCAAUCUUUAUAAGCUGGGAUGGUGUGCACUACUCUCAGGCUGCAAAUCAAUGGGUUGCUGAUCAUACACAGAACGGUUCACUGGCCAACCCUCCAAUCCCAAUUACUUAUGCGUGUCAUAGACAGUAAGUGGAAUAACCAGGUUAAAGAACUGGAAUAUUAGUAUUGAAAGUGCGUUAGUAGAAUUGCAUGUUUUUAGGUUGAAGUUGCAUUUGAUUUGUGUUCUCAGGAUGAUUGUCAAAUGACCAUGAGAAUUUUCCACUGUAUCUGAGAAAUCAGAUUAAGAAAGAGCAAUAAAUGAUCCCGUUCCCUAUUAACAUUUCCUCAUAUCUAGAGUAUGUUAGCCUUGGUUGGCAUGUUUGUUCCUUUUUGAUAGUUUUUGUGUUUUCAAUUGUUCUGGUUUAAAUCUCAAGUUCAUAAGCCAGGCUGCCAGUAUAUCAAUAACACUGGCUCUCAGUCUAUUUCUGGGUUCAGUUAAUCCUUGGACUGGUAGUAGGACAUUCUUGUUGUUCCUUUUGGUGAAAUUCUUAGAUACACCAGUUGGAGUGCAUUUCAUACCUUUAAGUAUUUAUGAGAGAGUCUUAGCCAUGAAUUAACUAAGGGAUCUCAUUGGAGCACUAAAUAAUUACUCUUACUGUUGCCGUUUUCUGACACUAGAGUGACCAUAUUCCAGUUCCAGCCAUGUUGCAAGAUUUCGG
RNAcentral lists this unclassified non-coding RNA (2170 nucleotides) under Hevea brasiliensis (rubber tree). Lineage: Eukaryota; Viridiplantae; Streptophyta; Magnoliopsida; Malpighiales; Euphorbiaceae. The record is from RNAcentral.